Molecule: long non-coding RNA, 7526 nt
Organism: Falco peregrinus (peregrine falcon)
Lineage: Eukaryota; Metazoa; Chordata; Aves; Falconiformes; Falconidae
Exons: 4
Source: RefSeq, a predicted model, not a curated record
GGCAAAGCAGCAUUCCAUGGCAGAGCACUUGUGGGAUGUGCCCUGUAGUGAGACAUGUCUACUCUGAAUUUCUUUGGGAUACUGCCAAAAUGCUCUUUGAAAGACAGCCCUGCACGUGGAAGGUGCACUCCUUACAACAUCUUCAGUUCUGCUAUGGGAGAUAAGGUAUGGAAUGUUCAAGUAAAUUCCUGAAGGAGCCUUUAGAUGUUUGGCCCUUGGCUGGUGUGAAGAACAGGUGUUUCUGAAGAAGGUGACUCAAGAUUGCCCUUGUUUGAUGCAAUGUCUGGAGACAUGGGUUAGUUAGAAGCACACAGAUGUGACACACCUCUGGCUCCACAACAUGCUACCACCUUCAGAGCAUUUGUUAUUUGGGAGAAGAGACUGACUCUGAGCUGCCUACAACCUCCUUUCAGAUAUUUGUAGAGAGUGGUGAGGUCCCCCCUGAGCCGCCUCCUCUCCUGACUGAACAGCCCCAGUUUCCUCAGCUGCUCCUCACAAGACUUGUGCUCCAGACCCUUCCCCAGCUUUGCUGACCUUCUUUGGUCUUGCUCCAGCACCUCAGUGUCUGUCUUGGAGUGAGGGGCCCCAAACUGAACACAAUAUUUGAGGUGCGGCCUCACCAGUGCUGAGUAUGGGGAACGAUCACUGCCCUCAUCCUGCUGGCCACACCGUUUUGGAUACAAGCCAGGACAAAGAUGCUCUUCACCCACAUGCUUGUGGCUUUUGUUUUUUUCUGACAGCAACUGAUAACUCCAGAUAAUGGAACAUAGAUUGAAAAACCCAGUUUAUUAUCUUUUUUUUUGACAAUUAGUUGUUUACCCCAAGUGUAAAGCUAGACAAUUUAAGGCUAAGAGUAAAGUUCCAAGAUUUUACCCAUGAGGGCAGUUUGCCAUGGGAACAACUUAUCUAGGGAUGUGGUGAAAUUUCUACCACUUGAAAUCUUUAGAUCAGAAUUUAAUAUGUGGCUAAUAUGUAAAUAUAUAUGUUAGUUGAACAAGGAGUUUUGUUUACAGGGAGGAAAUUGCUGAAGGAAAUUCUAUUGUCUUCAAGGUGUAUGAAGUGCCAUUUGGGUUACAAAAAUGAGUCCACUCUGGUCUUAAAGCCAGUAAGCCAUAAUCAAACAGCCAGCAGAGACAUGAAGUAUCUGUUGUGUGAUUCAUGCUUUUUAUUGAUAUGCAGAGUGUGUAUUAGGUAGAACAAGAGAGCUAGGUGGUGGAACUUGUUCUGGAGAAGGUAUAGAGAGGAAAACUGUUUUAAUAAAUUGUUUUCAUCUUUCGAUUUUAAUUUUUUUUUUUUUAAUUUCAGAAAAGUUGGUUGUGUUGCAUCCCUAAUUAGAAAUUUGUGGUCAGGCAAUGAAUGUGUUGUGGUAAAAAAUCUGUGUUAAACACUGUCAGUUACAGCUAAAUGAAAAUGAAGGUAUUUUUAGCCGAACAAUAAUUUUCCUUAUUUGAAGAUUUUUGUUCUUUUAAUUAGCAAUUUGGAAUGCAGUACAUGGUUCUGGUCAUGCGUAUUGAUAUACCAUAUUUUAGCAUCCAAUUUUAUUUGGGCAGAUGACUGGAGGUAUCUUUUAGCCUUUUAAAAAUAUUUCACUAAUAAUAAAUGAAGACCAUAAGCACCUAAAAGCAGAAGAUAAUAUCCAAGCCCAAAAUGUUUGUCUGUGUAAAGGUUUUAGUAUGAGAGGUAUUGUACAGCCCAGUCUUUCUUAGAAGUUUCAGGACUAGACUCUUAAUUUGUUUAUUUUUGUCAUAAAUCAUGUUUUUAGAUAAUGCACUUGUGUUCCUCUUAUUUUCUAGGUGUCAAAACAUUUUUUUGAAAUGGGAAAAAGUGCCUAAAUUCUAAUAUUAUUAAUAUAUGCAAAGUACAACUUCCGCAUCUGAUGCUAUUCAUCACAUCCCAAAUUAAUCAUCAGGGACAGAACCCAAUAUCCCAUUUCAAGCAAAGACCAAUAGCUCUUGGCAAAAUUAAAUCAUCUUUCAGAAAUAUUUCACUCUGAAAAGCUAAUAAUUCUAUGGAAAUGGAUUUUUAGAAGAAAAACCUGAGUUUGUUAUAUAAUCUUUCUGUAGGGUUCUCCAUCUCAUACAUUAACAUUUCAUAACAUACUUUAAAUGAGAAUUUGUUGGGAAAUAGUUUACAAUGUUGUUCCGACUGUCACAGUCCUUUAAUGGUUCUGAAGUGAUAAUAAUAUGAUUUAGAAACCCAAGGGAACAUCACUUAAAUCUGAUUGAAGCAGAGACAAACACAAAGGAAGUGACAGAUGCAGAGCAGGAAAUUCUCAUUUUUGCAAUGACAUUUUUAUCUCAUCUUUCCCUCCCCUAUUCUACUUUAGAAUAGUGCAACCAAAUACUUCUACAGAAUAAUGUGCAAUCUGCUGUUCUGUUACCCUUCCCACUCAGUAUGAAGAUUUAAUGGAGAAUGGAAAAUGCAUAUUUACUUUUAACUUUUCUGCUGUGAGUGGUAGACAGCUCAUGGCGAUGCAGGGAGGGAGAAAGGACUUACAUCCUGUACAGAAGGUGGGAACAAGGGAGAUACUCUACUUAAGAGGGGAAAGGCUGAGGCUGGUUUUGGAUCUUUUUGUUCCAAUACGUGUUUAUAACACUUGCCACUUUAAAGAUAUGUUGGCCGUUUAAAAACAAAACCCAGAUAGAUUUUUUUUAUAUAUAUAUAUUUUAAAGAAGGUGUUCAGGUGUGCACGUCUGAAAGGAACAGGAACUGAGCUCAGCCACACUACCACGGGUUGAAUGUUGUUCCACAGUGCUUGCAGGUUCUGCUGUUAGAGAUGCUUGCAGUCUUCUCCUUGCCUCAGCACUAGUAGAGUCAUAAUGUGCUCUCACAGCCAGAAGAGAGGUUGUUUUGUAACAUAUCAGAACGUAUUUUUUUCCUUUAUAUGGGUUCUCAUUUUCUGAAUAUAUUUAUGCUCCUGGAGGUCAAGGUGAUAGUCAACAGGGCUCACACUUAAUGGAUCCCCAUCUUUGCCUGUGCACCCAUGUUGUCCUAAGUGCUACACUGCCUCCGGUGCCUGCCCUGUGAGACCCCUGGUCACUCAGCUACCUUUGAAGGAGCUGCAAAAGCCACCUUAGAAAAAGAAGUCUAUCAUCAGUAGGCCUGGUUUUGCUCUUGAGGGAUGUCUCCUUCCCCUGGGAAGUUCUUAGCAUUGUCAGUUGAAAAAAAGAUGAAAAGUCCUGCUCUGUUAAUGCCAGGAUGACUACUUUGAGAUUACAUUUGCACAAUAAACAAUGGACUGAAUACUUAUGAAUCUUUUCAGAAUAGUCCUAGCCAAGACAUAAUUUAAUCCGUAUGUUUCAUUGAAGUGACAUUUUAAUUAUUGAUUGUGCUUAAUGAAUAUGCUAACAUGUAGAAUUCGGGAGGUUUCUGCUGCCCCGCUGUGCUCUCUAGGCCCUCAUACAUUUUUAAAGAGGUGUCUGUAGGAGACAGUGUUCUGGGUUUACGCCAAGGCACCAUAAUGAAGACCACAUACAGAGUUCAAGGGCUGGUGCUUGUCCUUCAGGAAUAACAUCAGAAACUUGUUUUGUCUGACAGUUGUUCCUGAAAUUUUAAAUUAGAUUAUUCACUUUUUCCCUGUGUAAAUGGGGUAAGUUAUGAGUGGUUUCCCAUUCAGCUGGGGGCAUAAAAUAAGGUUUAACCUUAUUUUCCAUUUCAAAUUGGGGGAAGAAAAAUAAGUGGAAAGAAGUUCAGGCCAAUGAUCUAGUCAAUAAUAUAUUACAACUCAAGCACUCCUUCUGUAUGCAUUUGCAAUGAGAUUACAAAAGCUCUUAAGCCUUUCUGUCUUCUUGCUGGUUUUAAUACUCAGGUGAAAUAACCACUAUGCACAGUGGAAACAAAAAAUUUCUGCUGGAGAGGCCUUGACUGUGGUUUUGAAUACAGCCUCGAGCAAAGACUGAUGUUUAAAUUGCUUCACUCUAAAGAGCCCUGGGGUGCUCUGUUGUGUCUAUGGGGAUCUCAACAGAUGCGUUCAUAAAACUUUAUGCUGAAACCCUUUAUACAAUAACAUGUAUUAAAGUAGUGACAAUCAAUGUAAUAACAUAGAUGAAAAUGGGAAUCGUCUAGUGCACCAGGGUUGAAAAAAAUGUGCUAUUGUAAGCCUUUACAAAUGGGAGACAGAAGUGUAUCUUGAGAUCACAUUACUAUGGGCACUCCAUGAACUGAUAAAAUACCAACCUUGAAACUAUUAGACUGCAAAGAAAAAAAGCCCCUUUUUUAUUUUUUAAAUACGGAGUUAUUUAAUUUCAGUGAUUGUUAUUUUUCUAUUGUUUUUCAAGUGUUAGCAGGAUGUCUCCAGUAAAUCAUAAAUUAUAUGAUGUUACAGCUGCAAGCCAAAGCCCCAUGAGAAAUCAGAUAGUACAUAAAGAGGAGUGCCACUAAAGACUUGACCCUUAACUGUGUAUAAGCACAGUCUGUGUAUUAAUGAGUAAAGAAAUAUUAUAAAAAGGUGAUGAUACUGAGUCACUUUGACAAUAAUUUUUAUUAUUUAUAAUUCUAUUUCAAAAUUCUUUAGAGAGUUUGUGAAAAGCCUUUCUUUGGUGGGAGUUAAUUCAGGGAAGCAUAAAGUUAAUUUGUGAGAAAUUAGGAUGGGAUCAUCACUUUCAGGGAUGAAUUAAGAGUGUGGGUUCAGGGCUAGUGAAAUCCCAAUGUGUCAAGAUAUGAAAUUUCUAACAUAUAAGAGCUGGAAGCUGUAGUCCUGAAACCAGAGGCUGUUGCAUCCUUCCUCCUGGUACAUUUGGAGGGAACCUGCUGGCUGUGGGACGUUGUCUUACCAACGUGCAGCAGGUUCACCCAUCAUGGAGGUCCAGAAUUCAAGUACUCUUGAAUUGCAUACUCUUCCUGUGCCUGUCUCAUUUCAUUUUUCUCUGAGGAAAAAGAAGGAUUUAUAGACAGAUCCUCACUCUCUGGGAUGUCUUAUCCAUGUUAGAAGCUUGGACCCAACUUAUUGAUCCUGAUAGGAAGUUCUUGUGUAGAGUGAGCUUAAAGAUUAGGUCCUGGAAUGUUAAUACAUCUUUAUGUAACAGGUUUAUACAUUAUAAGCUUUAAGUUUAGUGCAAACCAAAGUGCUAAUAUGUAGCAUAAAUUUGAAGAGAGAUUUCCCCCCAAAGCCUGGAAAUGCAGCUGACAACAUCUGUUAAGUCUCUGUAGUUUGUAAAAAGGAGAGUUACUUUAUUAUAAAAGAAGAGGUUUCAGAUAAUCUGAAGAUCAUAUUUUUUUUUUCCAUCCCAGAGGAGCAGAUAAGAUUCUUCUUUCAGCCAGGGGAAAACAAUUCUUAUCGAUCCAUCAGUUGUACAACGAGUGAUGACAUGAAUUAAUUUAAACCGGCCUAAGGUAUCCUAAAAAAGUAAAAUUAAAUGUGUAACAGUAGGUUCUCCUCUUAUCUUCAAAUCUAGCAAAAAAUCUUAAACUUUUAUGAUCCCUAAGCAUGGUCUCAGGGCACAUGAAUGCACUGCUGCUAGUCGUCUCCUCUGCUGCAACCAGAACAUGUUCCUGCCCAUAGCACACCAUACCACAGUAUGGGAUCCCACACUGGUGUAUCAUAUAUGAUAUACCCUACAUGGUAUUCCAUAGUACAGUAUGGAUAUUUUUGAAGGGAAAGUACUUUUUCUUGGGGUUUUGUGCAAAGACGGUCUGCGUGAAUGAUUUUGCAGAGGAUGCUGAACAUCUUGCAUCUUGGCUGACUGGAUAUAUUCUUCUGAAAUAGUAUGCAGAUUUGUUCUUAGCGAUUUUCAUUGAAAAAGUAAGGGUUGUUCCUGCUUCUGGAACUGGAUGCCUUAAAGAAGGCUGUUCUGAAAGGUUGGGGUAAAAUGCUGAUUGUUGUUAUCUAUGCUAAUCACAGAGGCAUUAAGUCAGUCUACACUAGCUGAUGAAGUAGCGCUCUCUACCCUUAGAAUAUUUCCUUUUCUUUUGUACUUUUUUCUCCCCAAAAUUUAAAGUGAGAUUUGUAAAAUGGAUUGCCAGAAAAUGGCAGUCUGAGUAGAGGUGACAAAAGGUGCUACAUUGAACUUAGUUGAAGUGAAAGGCUUCUACCUUAAAGGUAAACAAAACUAAACUCUGCAUUUCUUUAGUUGCCCUUGGGGGUCAAAUCAAUAAGUACUCUUGUUUUCCUUGCUUGAAGUUUAUACUUUCUGUAGGAAUGUGAUUUUGCUUUCAAAAAGCCUUAAUUCUUCUUCCUUGUGAAAACAAAUUUCACGACCAACCCAUAAAUAAUCACAUGAAAAAAUAAUAGCAGCCUAAUUUACAUCUAACCUUUCUUUUUAAUGAUUAAUGGAUACUAUUUAUGUAAACUGUUUCUACAUUCCAGCGUGAAAUGAAAUUUAAAUUGCAAAUUUUACAGUGGUGUAUUUUAACUGGUGACCCUUUCCCCAAUCACAAAUUAAAAAAACCCAAUUACAUUUGUAAUAAAGAUGCUAAUGCAUUUCUUGUUUUUAGGGCACGUAAAGUUCUUGCUGCCAGCAACUUUAUUUUUCCUGUUGAUGAGCCAAUAAAAAUGUAUUUUCCAAAGUGCUCCAAAAUAUGUGUAUGUGCACAUUGAGGAAGGUAGCUAAAGAGUAAUUCUCAGCACAUUCACUUUGCAGCAGCAUUUGUGGUCAAGUAAACCUAUUGCAAGUUGAAGGCUACAUCGCAUACCAUUCUCCACAGUCAAGUGUAGCCUUUGAAGGGAAGUAGGUUUCCAACACAUCUGAGGCAUUGAACCCUCCCACCAGCCAACGGGCUCUUCAGCAGCUGUGAUUGCUCAGUCCUUCAAGGCUGGUGCCAAAGAUGCUCCUCUCUGCCUGCCUGCAGAGGUCUAAGUGCUGCACUUCGCUUGGAUUGCCCUUCAUCAGGGCUGCCAGGAGCGGCAAAGAGCAGAGCUCCCAGCUGAAAUGCAGCGCAGGUCCCUGGAGACUGGCUUUCUCUAACAAACAGCUCUCUAAAGUUAUCUGCGUUCCACAGAGUUUUUGAUUUAGGGUCUCGGAGGCAAUUUGAUUCCAGCCGAAGCAUACCUAUUAAACAAUGAUCUCUUUCUUUGCUUCUAAUUGCACUCAGGACCCUCUUUGGGGAUUAAAAUGAGAUGGCAUUUUUGUAACUCAUCACAUCAUUUGAACUCUCAAGGAGGACACAGAAACGGCAGAGAGAAGGGAGCUGGAGUGUUUGUCUCAUCGUAUUCAGAACCGUAUUCAGCUGUGACUUUGAAAGGGCAAUGCAGAUCUACCAGCUCCCUCUUGAGAAGGCUGGUGGCCACCGCCAGCUGUACAGACCUGCUGAGAUGCAAUUAAAGCCGAGGUGCUGCAAGGUCCAAUGAACUUGUCACAUCAGUUUGGGGGUCUUGAAGGAAUGAGGAGAAACAGGGACUUUGCAAGUGUGUGUGUGUGUGUGUGUGUAAAUUACACCAGAACAGGGUGAACUUUGCUGCUUUAGGGUUGCUGGUCUUCUGAAGGGAAUAUGGGCUGAGCUAUUCAGCUGGAUGUAUUUUCAUUACCAAGACAAACUAGACAGAAUCAUAUUAAAACUACCUCCCGAAGAACCUUUCUUCUUUUUUUUUU